This 1283-nucleotide ribosomal RNA is filed under the name Ochthebius sp. IBE<ESP> AN76. RNAcentral's name for it is "16S ribosomal RNA". The stretch from base 1041 to 1200 matches the Rfam family "Archaeal large subunit ribosomal RNA", at positions 2542 to 2701 of the family's 2987-position model. Lineage: Eukaryota; Metazoa; Arthropoda; Insecta; Coleoptera; Hydraenidae. The record is from RNAcentral.
AUUAUUAAAUUUAUUAUUAUUAUUUAUCAAUAAAGUAUUUUUUUGUUUAAUUAUUAAUAAAGAAAAAAUUAUUAUUAUUAUAGUUUAUAGUAUUGUGAAAGAAAAUUUAAAUAUAUUGAAAAUUUAAAUUUUUAUAAGAAUAAUUAAUUUUUAGUACCUUGUGUAUCAGGGUUUAUUAAAAAUUAAUUAUAUAAAAUAAUAUUCUCGAUUUUAAAAGAGUUAAAAAUUUAUUUUUUUUAAUGUAAAAUAAUUAUUGUAAAUAAAUUUUUAGUAAUGAAAUGUUAUUCGUUUUUAAAUAUAUCUAGUUUUUUAAGAAAUAAAUUUAAUUUAUUUAUUAAUAAAAAUUAAUAUUAUUAUUAAUUUUAAUUUUAUUAAUAAAAAAUAUUUUUAGGGAUAAGCUUAAUAAUAAAUUUAUAUAAUAUUAUUUAUUAUAAAAUUAAAUAUAGGAUUAAAAAUUUCUUUUAUUUAUAAUUUGUUAUAAUUAAUUUUUUAAUUUUAUUAUUUAUAUAAUUAUUUAUAUUUUUUAUUAAAAUAUUUUAUUUAAUUUUUUAAUAAAAGUAAUAAUGAUAAAAUUAGUAUAAUAUUUUUUAUAUAUAAAUUAAAUUUAUUAGGUUAAUUUAAGGAAUUCGGCAAAUUAAUUUUUCGCCUGUUUAAUAAAAACAUGUCUUUUUGAUUAUAAUUUAAAGUCUAACCUGCCCUAUGAUUAUUUAAAUGGCCGCGGUAUUUUGACCGUGCAAAGGUAGCAUAAUCAUUAGUUUUUUAAUUGGAAGCUAGAAUGAAUGGUUGAACGAAAAAAUUACUGUCUCAAUUUAAUUUUAUUAGAAUUUUAUUUUUAAGUUAAAAAGCUUAAAUAUAUUUAAAAGACGAGAAGACCCUAUAGAGUUUUAUAUUAAAAUAAUUUUUUAUUUUAUUAAUUUAAUUAUUUGUUUUAAUAUUUUGUUGGGGUGAUAAAUAAAUUUAUUAAACUUUAUUUUUUUAAAUACAUUUAUUUAUGAAUUUAUGAUCCAUUAUUAAUGAUUAAAAGAUUAAAUUACCUUAGGGAUAACAGCGUUAUCUUUUUAGAGAGUUCAAAUCGAAAAAAAUGAUUGCGACCUCGAUGUUGGAUUAAAAUUAAUUUUUGGUGUAGAAGCUAAAAAUUUUAAGUCUGUUCGACUUUUAAAAUUUUACAUGAUCUGAGUUUAAACCGGUGUGAGCCAGGUUGGUUUCUAUCUUUAAAUUAAAAAGAUAUUUUAGUACGAAAGGACCAAAUAUUUAUAAUAUUUAUUUAAAAAUUGAAUUUUAUU